AGCGAACGCUGGCGGCAGGCCUAACACAUGCAAGUCGAACGGAUCCUUCGGGAUUAGUGGCGGACGGGUGAGUAACACGUGGGAACGUGCCCUUUGGUUCGGAGCAACUCAGGGAAACUUGAGCUAAUACCGUAUGUGCCCUUCGGGGGAAAGAUUUAUUGCCAUUGGAGCGGCCCGCGUCUGUUUAGCUAGUUGGUGGGGUAAAGGCCUACCAAGGCGACGAUCAGUAGCUGGUCUGAGAGGAUGAUCAGCCACAUUGGGACUGAGACACGGCCCAAACUCCUACGUGAGGCAGCAGUGGGGAAUCUUGCGCAAUGGGCGAAGGCCUGACGCAGCCAUGCCGCGUGAAUGAUGAAGGUCUUAGGAUUGUAAAAUUCUUUCACCGGGGACGAUAAUGACGGUACCCGGAGAAGAAGCCCCGGCUAACUUCGUGCCAGCCGCCGCCGUAA
Molecule: ribosomal RNA, 449 nt
Filed under: uncultured bacterium
Lineage: Bacteria
Description: partial 16S ribosomal RNA
Rfam family: Bacterial small subunit ribosomal RNA
Source: RNAcentral